CAGAUGUAGUUUAGUGGUAAAACUCCAGCCUUCCAAGCUGGUUAUGUGGGUUCGAUUCCCAUCAUCUG
Molecule: transfer RNA, 68 nt
Filed under: uncultured Ruminococcus sp.
Lineage: Bacteria; Bacillati; Bacillota; Clostridia; Eubacteriales; Oscillospiraceae
Rfam family: tRNA
About the family: Transfer RNA (tRNA) molecules are approximately 80 nucleotides in length. Their secondary structure includes four short double-helical elements and three loops (D, anti-codon, and T loops).
Source: RNAcentral